UGAAAAAUAAUUUAACAAAAAUAGAAGACUUCAAAUCUUACCUUACUAAUACACCUAGUUUUUUCAG
RNAcentral lists this transfer RNA (67 nucleotides) under Iphiteon panicea. Its description in RNAcentral is "tRNA-Trp". The record is from RNAcentral. Lineage: Eukaryota; Metazoa; Porifera; Hexactinellida; Hexactinosida; Dactylocalycidae.